Non-coding RNA from Aedes aegypti (yellow fever mosquito), 72 nucleotides. The record is from Rfam. Lineage: Eukaryota; Metazoa; Arthropoda; Insecta; Diptera; Culicidae.
GGCUCGGUAGCUUAGUUGAUAAAGCGCUGGUCUAGCAUACAAGAGUCCUGGGUUCAAAUCCCAGCCGAGCAC